GUAGGGGGGGCAAGCGUUGUCCGGAAUUAUUGGGCGUAAAGCGCGCGCAGGCGGCCCACCAAGUCAGAUGUGAAAUCCCUCGGCUUAACCGAGGACCUGCAUUUGAAACUGGUAGGCUAGAGUACAGGAGAGGGAAGUGGAAUUCCUAAUGUAGCGGUGAAAUGCGCAGAUAUUAGGAAGAACACCGGUGGCGAAGGCGGCUUCCUGGACUGUUACUGACGCUGAGGUGCGAAAGCUAGGGGAGCAAACAGGAUUAGAUACCCUGGUAGUCCUAGCCGUAAACGAUGGUCACUAGGUGUAGGGGGUUAUCAACUCCCCCUGUGCCGAAGCUAACGCAUUAAGUGACCCGCCUGGGGAGUACGGCCGCAAGGCUA
RNAcentral lists this ribosomal RNA (374 nucleotides) under uncultured organism. Its description in RNAcentral is "partial 16S ribosomal RNA". It matches the Rfam family "Bacterial small subunit ribosomal RNA", at positions 525 to 896 of the family's 1533-position model. The record is from RNAcentral.